UCCCCGUGGAUUCUCAGUUUAUUCCUACCCCGACAAUCCCCUCCUACGCCUACGCCUCUGCCCCGCCGGUUUCCUCCAAUUAUUCGCCCUCCGCCGAUUUCUCCGCCAGUAAUUAUUCCUCCUCCACUUACCCUCCCCAUUCCCGGAGUUCUGAUCCUGCCCCUUCUUAUUCUAUAAGCCCUAGCCCUGCCGCCUCUCAGCCCUCCAAUCUACCUUCCUACUCUUUCCCUCAUCUGGAAACUUCCUAUUAUCCGUACGAUCAGAAUCCUGGAGCUGCUGCUGCAUCUGCUGCUGUUAGUUACGAUUAUCCCAAUUCAAAUCCUAGUUAUAGCCCGUCGUAUCCUUAUUCAUCGGCCUCUUAUGAUGGUUCUUCGCAGAAUUACGACAAUUCAUUCGGGAAUAAUGUUAGUCAUGGGGGAUAUGGUGAUCAGGGGAUGUAUGAUGCUGGGGUUUAUAAAUAUAAUGGGGGAAAUUCAGAGCCCUAUGGUGCUAAAGGGACCCGGUCUCGACUCGAGAGUGGUGGAGUGCUGUUUGAUGAUUAUGGGAGGCCCAUUAAUGUUCCCGGUGGGAAGGAGCAGAAUGGGUCUGGAAGCUUUCCUAAGAUUGUGAAGGCAGCUCCAAAGCCUGAGGAGCUGCAUGAUACUAGGGGCAGCGUGCAGAAAUACCGAGUCAGGCUCUUAUCCGAAGGUGCAAGUCAGUCUGACAUGGAUGUGCUCUGCCUAGGAUCCGUAUAUAAUUAAUUCAAGGGUACAAAUGGUUAUUCGGUCCAAUAGUAACGAAUUAGGACCCGACGCCAAGAUCUACGAUCCAAAAUCCAACCACGCACACAAGAAGGAACAAUAACGGCCAUUGGCGGGUAAGGAAGGAACCGUCAAGCGCGUAUCAAACAUCUUUUGACUUUCCCCGCCCCCGUUCCUGCUUCCUUGCCUUCCACUCUGUAUCUUCUGCCACUUUCCAUCCAUCCUUCGCCAAAUCUCCAUUCUCCAUUAAAACCCGACCCAAAAAAGCAUAAGGGAAAAGAAAAAUCUUUAUCUUCUCCGUCUGGCCGGUCGAUUUUCCGAUCGAAAUUCUGGUACUAAUUAUACAACAAAGCGACAUGAGCUCGUCGUAUUACCAGUAUUAUCAACCCGACUUCCAGAGCCCUAACCCUAAUCCCGGCCCCAACCCCAACGUCCCCGUGGAUUCUCAGUUUAUUCCUACCCCGACAAUCCCCUCCUACGCCUACGCCUCUGCCCCGCCGGUUUCCUCCAAUUAUUCGCCCUCCGCCGAUUUCUCCGCCAGUAAUUAUUCCUCCUCCACUUACCCUCCCCAUUCCCGGAGUUCUGAUCCUGCCCCUUCUUAUUCUAUAAGCCCUAGCCCUGCCGCCUCUCAGCCCUCCAAUCUACCUUCCUACUCUUUCCCUCAUCUGGAAACUUCCUAUUAUCCGUACGAUCAGAAUCCUGGAGCUGCUGCUGCAUCUGCUGCUGUUAGUUACGAUUAUCCCAAUUCAAAUCCUAGUUAUAGCCCGUCGUAUCCUUAUUCAUCGGCCUCUUAUGAUGGUUCUUCGCAGAAUUACGACAAUUCAUUCGGGAAUAAUGUUAGUCAUGGGGGAUAUGGUGAUCAGGGGAUGUAUGAUGCUGGGG
RNAcentral lists this long non-coding RNA (1622 nucleotides) under Coffea arabica (coffee). Its description in RNAcentral is "long non-coding RNA (CARA_LNC005220)". The record is from RNAcentral. Lineage: Eukaryota; Viridiplantae; Streptophyta; Magnoliopsida; Gentianales; Rubiaceae.